AUUACACGCGCGGAUGUGCAUUACAUGUGUAUUACAUGUGUGGAUGUGUAUUAAAGGUUUAUCACAUGCGUGGAGUUGUAUUACAGGUCUAUUACACACGUGCAGGUGUAUUAGAGGUGUAUUACACGCGUAGAUGUAUAUUACAGCUGUGUUACACGCGUGGAGUUGUAUUACACCUUUAUUACACGCGUGGAUGUGUAUUACAAGUUUACUACACGCGUGGAGGUGAAUUACAGGUGUAUUACACGUGUGGAUGUGUAUUACAGGUUUACUACACGCAUGGAGUCAUAUUACAGGUGUAUUACACGCGUCGAUGUUUAUUACAGGUGUAUUACACACGUGGACCUGUAUUACAGGUUUACUACAAGCAUGGAGUCGUAUUACAGGUGUAUUACACGCGUGGAUGUGUAUUACAGGUGUAUUACACGCGUGGAUGUUUAUUACAAGUAUAUUACACGCGCGGAUGUGCAUUACAUGUGUAUUACAUGUGUGGAUGUGUAUUAAAGGUUUACCACACGCGUGGAGUGGUAUUACAGGUGUAUUACACACGUGCAGGUGUAUUAGAGGUGUAUUACACGCGUAGAUGUAUAUUACAGCUGUGUUACACGCGUGGAGUUGUAUUACACCUUUAUUACACGCGUGGAUGUGUAUUACAAGUUUACUACACGCGUGGAGGUGAAUUACAGGUGUAUUACACGUGUGGAUGUGUAUUACAGGUUUACUACACGCAUGGAGUUGUAUUACAGGUGUAUUAAAUGCGUGGAUGUGUAUUAAAGGUGUAUUACACGCGUGGAGUUGUAUUACAGCGUUAUUACACGCGUGGAUGUGCAUUACAGGUGUAUUACACGCGUGGAGGUGUAUUACAGCUGUAUUACAGGUGUAUUACACUCGUGGAUGAGUAUUACAGGUUUACUACAGCGUGGAUGUGUAUUACAGGUUUACUACACGCAUGGAGUUGUAUUACAGCUGUAUUAUACACGUCGAUGUUUAUUACAAGUAUAUUACACGCGCGGAUGUGAAUUACAGAUGUAUUACACGUGUGGAGUUGUAUUACAGGUGUAUUACAUGCGUGACCCGACACAGCGGCCGCAGGUUCCGUAGGUUCGCACCGCGCCGACGAAGAUGAGGGAAAAUCUUUCGCGGCUGGGACAUCUGAUCCGAGGCAACAACGGGCACCAGCCAGGCAUCGAUGGGCUCCAGAGAGCGCGGAGAAAAGACAUGAUGAGGCACAGAUCCACGUUUGUUCCAAGGAGCCGGGGAAGAGCGCACCAAGUACGCCUUGAGUUUCACGAGCAGACCGCUACGUUUGCCCCGGCGUCUGAAACGCUUUCGCCGUGAGGCUGGGCCAGGGUCCGACAAAGGUUAGCUGGUAUCCCAGCUAGGAAUGGAGGUAACGUCUUAUGUCCAGUAUAAGUUGUAUUGGUAAGAUCACUGGCAACUAGUCGGAGGUCCAACAGAGUUUGGCGAUUGUACAUUAAAAGAGGGUUGACUCUAGCAAUAAAAAAACCAACACAAACAAACACAGCAGGGGAAGAGACAGACGGCGAGCCACACACACUGGCGCCAUCUUGUCUAUUCAUCACGGAACCUUCAUGAAUGGACUUACCCCGGCUGGGGCGGCGGCGACGACGACGACGACGGCUGCUGCUGCUGCUGCUGCUGCUGCUCCUCCUCCUGCUCCUGCUGCUCCAUGCUCUAUCCUCCAUCCUUUGGAAGCCGAAUUUAAAGGCCGCGCUGGCCCUUGUUCUUCUUCAUCUAUCUUUUUAUGGCGGUUGGCAAACAACUUCAGGUGCAUUACUGCCACCUUCUAGACUGGAGUGUGGAUCAGAACAGCUUUUACGUCUAUACUCUCAUGUUGCUCUUAAAAACCCAAAUAUUGCCCUCAGCCAUACUGUUUGUGGCUUUUCAUUUCCUUCCCUGCUCCAAUAACAGCAAAAGGAGUGAGGCACUGAAUGAACUGUAUCAGCACGUCAGUGAGCAGCAGAUGGCCCACCUAGAUGCUUCUCUCGUGCUAGCGGGGGUUUUCAAUCGUGCAGACCCAAAGACUGUGCUUCCCAAACUGCACAAACACAUACAUUUCCCACACGGGGAAACAACAUUUUGGACUAUGUUUUCACCACCCAGAGAGGAGAUUACAAAACAUCUUGCCAAGUGGUGCAGCAACAACAACCUGUCCCUGAAUGUUGAGAAGAGUAAGGAGGUCAUCAUAGACUUCAGGAGAACUCACACCCUGCACACACGACUAACCAUCAGUAGUGCUGCUGUGGAGAGGGUAAAGCAGCACUAAGUUCCUGAGUGUGCACAUCUCAGAACAUCUGAGUGUGUUUGUAAUUGUCUGAUUCAAACAGGCUGCCGAUGUCCAGAUUGGACGAUUGAAUGGACAGCCACCUACCUCUCCUUGUCUCCUCUACAUCCAACAAAGAGCAACCUGUUUGUACUUCUGAGCAUUUGUGUGAAAAUCCUGAGCUGUGGUCUUUUUUGUAACGUGUGAGCCAUUUGUAAUUAAGAUAUGUUGAUUGAGAUAAAAGCACUUAUGUAAAUAGUUGUUGUAAGCGUUCCUUGUAAUUUCUUA
Molecule: long non-coding RNA, 2572 nt
Organism: Oreochromis niloticus (Nile tilapia)
Lineage: Eukaryota; Metazoa; Chordata; Actinopteri; Cichliformes; Cichlidae
Source: Ensembl